This 419-nucleotide ribosomal RNA is filed under the name Acanthamoeba genotype T5. Its description in RNAcentral is "partial 18S ribosomal RNA". It matches the Rfam family "Eukaryotic small subunit ribosomal RNA", at positions 767 to 1115 of the family's 1831-position model. Lineage: Eukaryota; Discosea; Longamoebia; Acanthamoebidae. The record is from RNAcentral.
UGAAGUAGCGGGCGAUUUUUUUCCUGCCACCGAAUACUUAACAUGGGAUAAUGGAAUAGGACCCUGACCUCCUAUUUUCAGUUGGUUUUGUUUACAGCGAGGUUAUAUCAGGGUAAUGAUUAAUAGGGAUAGUUGGGGGCAUUAAUAUUUAAUUGUCAGAGGUGAAAUUCUUGGAUUUAUGAAAGAUUAACUUCUGCGAAAGCGUUUGCCAAGGAUGUUUUCAUUAAUCAAGAACGAAAGUUAAGGGAUCAAAAACGAUCAGAUACCGUCGUAUUCUUAACCAUAAACGAUGCCGACCAGCGAUAAAGAGACGUUGAAUACAAAACACCGCUGUUAAUCCUUUCGGGGGUUAAUAGUUGGUGAAUGACUCCCCUAGCAGCUUGUGAGAAAGUCGCCAUGAUGCCCCCCCCGAGGAAAAA